Molecule: small nuclear RNA, 125 nt
Organism: Trichosurus vulpecula (common brushtail)
Lineage: Eukaryota; Metazoa; Chordata; Mammalia; Diprotodontia; Phalangeridae
Source: RefSeq, a predicted model, not a curated record
GUAUUACAUAAAAGAGAAGGUUAUCACUCCCUUCACUGGGGUUGGAAAAGAGGUUAGUAACCUUUAUCACACAUACCAUGGUCAAGGGUUGCCACUGACUCUGUGGCAUCUAACCAAGUUUUCUU